RNAcentral lists this ribosomal RNA (484 nucleotides) under uncultured bacterium. RNAcentral describes it as "partial 16S ribosomal RNA". It matches the Rfam family "Bacterial small subunit ribosomal RNA", at positions 30 to 507 of the family's 1533-position model. The record is from RNAcentral.
AUUGAACGCUGGCGGCAGGCCUAACACAUGCAAGUCGAGCGGAUGAAGGGAGCUUGCUCCUGGAUUCAGCGGCGGACGGGUGAGUAAUGCCUAGGAAUCUGCCUGGUAGUGGGGGAUAACGUCCGGAAACGGGCGCUAAUACCGCAUACGUCCUGAGGGAGAAAGUGGGGGAUCUUCGGACCUCACGCUAUCAGAUGAGCCUAGGUCGGAUUAGCUAGUUGGUGGGGUAAAGGCCUACCAAGGCGACGAUCCGUAACUGGUCUGAGAGGAUGAUCAGUCACACUGGAACUGAGACAACGGCCCGACUUCUAAGGGAGGGAGGAGUUGGGAAUAUUGGACAAUGGGCGAAAGCCUGAUCCAGCCAUGCCGCGUGUGUGAAGAAGGUCUUCGGAUUGUAAAGCACUUUAAGUUGGGAGGAAGGGCAGUAAGUUAAUACCUUGCUGUUUUGACGUUACCAACAGAAUAAGCACCGGCUAACUUCGUG